ACGGGGUGCNNNNGGGGAGAAAACUUUGCAAUGUGCGAAAGCACGACAAGGUUAAUCCGAGUGAUUUCUGCUAAAGGAAUCUUUUGUUAGUUCUAAAAAUACUAGUGAAUAAGGGGUGGGCAAGUUCUGGUGUCAGCCGCCGCGGUAAAACCAGCACCUCAAGUGGUCAGGAGGAUUAUUGGGCCUAAAGCAUCCGUAGCCUGUUCUAUAAGUUUGCGGUUAAAUCUAUACGCUCAACGUAUAGGCUGCCGUAAAUACUGUAGAACUAGGGGGUGGGAGAGGUAGACGGUACUCGAUAGGAAGGGGUAAAAUCCUUUGAUCUAUUGAUGACCACCUGUGGCGAAGGCGGUCUACCAGAACACGUUCGACGGUGAGGGAUGAAAGCUGGGGGAGCAAACCGGAUUAGAUACCCGGGUAGUCCCAGCUGUAAACGAUGCAGACUCGAUGAUGCAUUGGCAUAUAGCCAGUGCAGUGUCGCAGGGAAGCCGUUAAGUCUGCCGCCUGGGAAGUACGUACGCAAGUAUGAAACUUAAAGGAAUUGGCGGGGGAGCAC
RNAcentral lists this ribosomal RNA (553 nucleotides) under uncultured crenarchaeote. RNAcentral describes it as "bacterial SSU rRNA". It matches the Rfam family "Archaeal small subunit ribosomal RNA", at positions 325 to 879 of the family's 1478-position model. Lineage: Archaea; Thermoproteati; Thermoproteota. The record is from RNAcentral.